Molecule: non-coding RNA, 1980 nt
Organism: Callorhinus ursinus (northern fur seal)
Lineage: Eukaryota; Metazoa; Chordata; Mammalia; Carnivora; Otariidae
Source: RefSeq, a predicted model, not a curated record
GAUGCAUGUGGUACAACACAUUUCGAGGGUCAUUUAAAGGGCCCCAGAGUGUGCAUCUAAUUUGCUUGAGUCAUUUCAUCUUAAAAAUUAUAUCCAUAAAAAAGAAUUCCAAAGAAGCAAAAAGUUGUAUGUAGACAAUUUUUAAUGCAGCACUGCCUAAAAUCACUAAAAUUUCUCAACUCAAUGGAAUAUUUUAUACCCAUUAAAAUACGUAUAAAUAUGAAAUAUUUGUGUUAAAAUGUUAUAUAACAAAACCAUGAUACAGAAUUAAACCUACCCUAUAAUGACAAAUUUGUAAAUUGUGUCUGUGCUGGGAAUGAGUGCAGAAAAGCUGAUAUAUAUGAUGGAAGUGGGACUCCAUGUUGCUUUUUCUUGUUUUCUUUAAUAUUUUCAUAAUACUCUUUGUAUGUUAAUGCAAUCAGGAGAAAAAAAAACAAAUACAGUGGCUCUGUAGGCUUGGCUCAACUGUCAGGGACUGAACAGAGUCAUAUAUCUUAGGACAUAUCUGACUUAUUCCCUAGAAAUGAGGAGAAGUUUAGCCCUUUGAUAUUUGUGUCUAUCCCUUUCCUCUAGGAGCAAAAUAUCAGAUAAAAGAGUUUGUGGUUCUUUUCCUUCUGUUCUUUUCAUGUGAAGGAAGUGCAACUUCCCUUCUGUCCUAUUCCAGAAAUUAGUAAUCUUACCUCAGCCCCACUCAGGUCAGGUCCUGAACCACUUCUUCUUUCAAGGAUGGGAAACAGGAAGAAGUAUUUCAGGGGCAGUGGUAGUGCAUGUUUGUCUCUGCCCUGCAAGUAACCUCUGCCAACCAUGUUUUAGUGUGAUCUUGGGGGGGAAUACCUAAGACUCCCACAAAGCAUAUGGUGUGACUGUUUCUUUCUCCUGCCUGAAGUUUGGAUCCCUGUUUGGACAACUGAGGGAGCCUGUGGAACCAUCUAGAAUGCUUCUGAGAGAGCAACAGGCACCUUUGAGGCCAAUAUACCCUUUAUAUAUCAUUGGGGAUGUGCUAGCCAUAUCAUUGGUCAACCCAAGACACAAUGGGUAGAAUAAUUACAGCUAAUGUUGACUGAAUAUUCACUACAUGCACUUUGACAUCUACUAAUCUCAUUUAAUCAUCACAACAACUCCAAGAGAAUCUUCUCAGAAGGGUAGAUCCUGUGUGGCCAGUUCCUUUGAAUGUAGUGGAUCAAGCAAACUGGAGAGGUUUAAACAGAGGAUUCCAUCAUGAACCAGUUUCUGUGGUCUCCCAGGUUCUGAAGAGGACAAGAACCACGUGGAAAUUUAGUUUUGCCAGCUAGAACCAAUACCAUACUUUAACUUACAAUGGCUUUGGGGUUUUACUUCGAUAUGGCACCUCUGGCUGUGGAAUGGUAUGAUGCAAUAAGGUACAGGAAACAACUCCACUUCUGUGCCUGGAUUUCUGAGAUAACACAUGGAAGAUAACUUCUUGGGAGAGUUUCUCUUUCCUGUAGUAAAUUUUGGACAAAUAAGAAAUAAACUUCUAUUAUAUUAGGCACUGAGAUUUUGGUAUUGUUUGUUACUGCACAAAACCUGUUUUUGAUGCAGAAAUCCAUAGUCUGGAAGGAAAAUCCAUCUGAAUUUCUAGUUUUUUAAAUUGUAAAGUUAGGAUGCCGAUUUGAGAUCUUCCUUUUAUUUUAAUGUGUUUAUGACUAUAAAUUUUCCCUUAGCACUGCUUUCACUGCAUCCCAUUUUAAAUUUUGAUAUGUUGUGGUUUUGCUUCAUUCGUCUCUAAAUAUUUUAAAAUUUCCCUUGUAAUUUCUUCUUUGGCCAUUAGUUCUUUAAGAAUAUGUUGCUUAGGGGUGCCUGGGUGGCUCAGUUCGUUAAGUGUCUGCCUUUGGCUCAGGUCAUGAUCCCAGGGUUGUCAGAUCGAGCCCUAUACUGGGCUCCUUGCACAGCGGAGAGCCUGCUUCUCCCUCUCCCUCUGCUGCUCCCCCUGCUUGUUCUCCCUUUCUCUUUGUCAAAUAA